AUGGCAAAAUUUUGGUGGAGCAGUUCUAUAGAUCGAAGAUCUCUACAUUGGAUAGAUUGGAAGUCCUUGUCGCUUCCAAAGGUCAGAGGAGGCAUGGGAUUUCGUGAUCUGGAAUGCUUCAAUAUUGCAUUGUUAGGGAAACAUGGAUGGAGGCUUAUCACCAGCCCGAACUCGUUAUGCUCUCGGGUGUUGAAAAGCCGCUAUUUCUCGAACACAUAUUUCAUGCAUGCUACUAUUCCGUGUAACGCCUCGGCUACCUGGCGAGCGAUCGUUGCCGGGAGGGCGGCACUGGAUACUGGCCUGCUAAAACGGAUUGGCGAUGGCUCGUCCACGCGCGUGUGGCGGGAUGGAUGGAUACCAGGCAAGCUCUCGAUGCGGCCCAAUGCACAGAUCGGUACAACACCUAUCAAUCUUGUUUCAGACCUGAUCGAUGAUGUGACUUGA
Molecule: ribosomal RNA, 444 nt
Filed under: Triticum aestivum (bread wheat)
Lineage: Eukaryota; Viridiplantae; Streptophyta; Magnoliopsida; Poales; Poaceae
Description: partial small subunit ribosomal RNA
Source: RNAcentral